GACUUUGGGUAUUUCAUACAAGUGGAAUCAUACAGUAUUUGUCUUUUUGGGACUGGCUUUAUAUUACUUUAAGAUAAUGUCCUCAAGGUUCAUCCAUGUUGUAGCAUGGGUCAGAAUUUCCUUCCCUUUUAAGCCUGAAUAAUAUCCAAUUGUAUUUUGUGUACCCAUUCAUCUGCUGUUGGAGCUUGGGUUGCUUCCAUCUUUUGGCUAUGGUGAAUAAUACUACUGCAAAACUUUUUUCCUCCCUGUGGCAAUGUAUUAGAGUCCUCUAGAGAGACAGAACCAAUAGCCUAAGUAGAUGGAUAGAUAGAUAGAUAGAUAGAUGAGAGGGGAUUAUUAGGGGAAUUGGCUCAUGUGAUUAUGGAGGCUUCUGCAAGCUGGGGACCCAGGGAUGUUGGUAAUGUGGCUGUAUCCAAGUCCCAAAGCCUCAGACAGCCUGGGAUGAGGGCGGGAGGGGUGGCUGAUGUAAGUCCUGGAGUCCCAACGCACGGUCCACUGACUCACUCACCGAUCUCCCUUGAAAACGCUCUUACAGACACAUCCCCAAAUAAUGCUUUAGCAGUUCUCCACGUAUCCUUUAAUCCAGUUAAGUUGACUCCGAACAUUAACCAUCACAGGUGGUGUAGACUAUUCCUAUCUUCUUGCUCAUGUAAUUCUCAGAUUAGAGCCUCUUGGAUAAGGAAGAACGCUGGCUGCCGUCCUGUAGUGACGCAUUUUUGCUUCCUGUUUCCUAUUUUCCUGCAUGUUUCACUACAUGAAUUAUCUCCUGCUUACGGGGACUGGUGUCCAAGACCCCCAUGAAUAUUGCGGUUGCACCUGUGUUCCAGUCCUCUUUAUUCAGGGAAAUAUUUGCGAACCGUGCUUACUGCUUAAAAUGAAAGCUUGGGAAUUGGCUGCUUGGGUUGGCUUGACCCCCCAGCAAAGAAAAAUAUAAAAAAAAUGAGACAAACUUUAAACAAGCCACACUGCUACAUGUCUCAGACACGUCGGGGAAAUGCAGCUUCCUCUACCCGGUGCCAGGCUACACGCUGCCAUUCGAAUACCAACUUGCGCGUCGUUUUAGAAGGAGAGGCCCCGGCGGUGCCAACUCUGUGACUCAGACUGCAUGUGGCAGCCCCAGUGCUGUUACACAGAAUUCAGAGAUCCCAGGAUUGAUUUCUUUUCUUUUCUAAAUCUGAAGACCAGGGUUCCUUUGAGGUAUUAAGUCCUGGGCACCAGCGUUCGCAGAUGCAAUACUGCUCGGGGGAGAAGCACUUUGUUGCUGAGCCUCCCAAGUACUCUGAGCCUUCUCUCCCCCUGCUGGUGAGACCAGAGAAGUGUUUCUAACAUUACUGAAACCAAGCAAAAUCCUCACUCCUUUGAAUCCUGCUGCGGCAUCUGGGGUCAUCCUUUUGUUUACUGUGUAUUUGCUUUUGACCUUCAGUAGGUCCUAACGGCAUAGCCAAAACAAAUAGUAGGACAUCAAACAAACAGAUGCAAAACAACACAAAGUUUUAAAUCAUUUCCAGGUACCACCACCCUGCAAGGCAAUGCGGCCAUGGGCUUAUAAGGUGAUUUUAUCUGAGAAACCAACCGUGUUCUAUAUACCUUAUGCCAUACUAUGUCACGUCAUAACAUGCUUUAUGGCGCUUUUCUUUUGUGCACCCCCUUCCUCCUCCAUUUUCACCAUGAUGGAUUAAGGGACAGGCAGAGGAGGGACUGGGGUGCCUUUUGGGAAGGCUAGUGGGGGCCCCAGACAGGCAGCCUGUCUGUGGGGACAAAGAGUAAAAGACCUGGAGGAUGAAUGCUUGUCACGUGGAAAGUCCUCCGUUAUGGUUAUCAGAAGAAUAAAUGAGUAAAGGAGAAGUGUCCCCAUGGCCAGAGAUAUAAAUUGGCCAUCAGUAUCUUGUAUUAAUUUCAUUAUGCAGACGGGGAAUCAUGGCAGCCGUGGUCACUGUUUGCAGUGGUCUAGGGAGGGAAAAGUUGGCAUGCUUGAUCACGGCUGCUGUCUGCUUCACCCAUCCUGGCCCUCACGCAGUGUCGUGGAGCAGAGGUUGUUCACGGUACAAACAGGUGACCAGCAAUGAGGACAUGCCUGUUCCAAUGGAAAAUCCUUAUAAGGAGCCUCCUAAGAAAUGUAUCUUGUGUGGAAAACGUGUAGAUUAUAAGAAUGUAUAGCUUUUGUCCCAGUUUAUUUCUCCAUUUACUGGAUGCAUUUAUGGAAGACACAUAACAGGUCUUUGUGGGACGAAACAGAGAGAAAUCACAAAAGGGAUCAAGAGAGCUCAAAUACUGGGGUUUAUGCCAGUUACAUACAAGGAUCCUGUGUAUCUCAAAGACCCUAAAGUUUGCAACAUCAGAUAUCGGGAAUAAAUUACAUAACAUGACCACCAAUAAACUUAUUUUGCAGUAAGUGGUUGCAUGAUGCCAAAAAAAAAAAAAAAUUGCAUUGCGCAGAUGGGGAGACUGAGCUAUUGAGAUAUGCGUUGAUUUGCAUGGGCUCAGCCAGCUAGCUGAUGCCUUCUUGACAUCAGAAAGAAGACUAGACGUUAUGUUUCCAAGCUCAGAGCAGAAUGCGUUUGUGUUAGAUUUAUGCACUUGCUGACUCGUUUCUCCUGAUGGGCACUUUGAUAAAUCAUUUCAAUUAGAAGCAGAUGUUAUCAUGGCAUACAUGGAGACAUGUCUUCCUGAGUUUCCAAACAGUAAGGUCGCUAUUUUAUGGUUUCCUGUCUGUGUGUGGGUCUGUGUUUGUACAGCCCUCCCAAAUAAACAAAUAAGCAAACAAUAACACUGAAAUGAGCUGCGGUGGCAUUUGAGUUUUCAGGAGGACUUAAGUAUAAAGUCAUAUGUAUUUCCCUAGAGAUGAUGGUCAGCCUUGCUUGGAAAAUAAGCAGGAAAGCUAAGAGCUUGGUUUGUUGUACAGAGUAAUCAGAAACCACUCACAUAGCAGUGGAAGUUUCUGGGAAUUUUGAUCUGGAAAACAAUAAUUAAAGAAAUCUUCUUGCCUUUAUGACAUCUGGUAGUAACCAUCACAUUUUGCGAACCUUGACUUAAAUGCGGAGAUUUUCUUAAAUCAUUUUUCUCAUUUAGUG
Molecule: non-coding RNA, 3071 nt
Organism: Microcebus murinus (gray mouse lemur)
Lineage: Eukaryota; Metazoa; Chordata; Mammalia; Primates; Cheirogaleidae
Source: RefSeq, a predicted model, not a curated record